This 178-nucleotide ribosomal RNA is filed under the name Pseudorasbora pugnax. RNAcentral's name for it is "partial 12S rRNA". Lineage: Eukaryota; Metazoa; Chordata; Actinopteri; Cypriniformes; Gobionidae. The record is from RNAcentral.
CACCGCGGUUAGACGAGAGGCCCCAGUUAAUGGUAUUACGGCGUAGAGGGUGGUUAAGGAAAAUAAAUCAAAUAAAGCCAAAUGGCCCCUUGGCCGUCAUACGCUUCUAGGUGUCCGAAGCCCAACCACACGAAAGUGGCUUUAAUAAAGUCAACCUGACCCCACGAAAGCUGAGAAA